RNAcentral lists this ribosomal RNA (788 nucleotides) under uncultured bacterium. RNAcentral's name for it is "bacterial SSU rRNA". It matches the Rfam family "Bacterial small subunit ribosomal RNA", at positions 64 to 848 of the family's 1533-position model. The record is from RNAcentral.
AAACGAUGGAGAAAGCUUGCUUUUUCUAUGCGUCGACCGGCGCACGGGUGAGUAACGCGUAUCCAACCUGCCCAUCACUUGGGGAUAACCUUGCGAAAGUAAGACUAAUACCCAAUGACGUCUCUAGAAGACAUCUGAAAGAGAUUAAAGAUUUAUCGGUGAUGGAUGGGGAUGCGUCUGAUUAGCUUGUUGGCGGGGUAACGGCCCACCAAGGCGACGAUCAGUAGGGGUUCUGAGAGGAAGGUCCCCCACAUUGGAACUGAGACACGGUCCAAACUCCUACGGGAGGCAGCAGUGAGGAAUAUUGGUCAAUGGGCGAGAGCCUGAACCAGCCAAGUAGCGUGCAGGAUGACGGCCCUAUGGGUUGUAAACUGCUUUUAUAAGGGAAUAAAGUGGGAGUCGUGACUCCUUUUGCAUGUACCUUAUGAAUAAGGACCGGCUAAUUCCGUGCCAGCAGCCGCGGUAAUACGGAAGGUCCGGGCGUUAUCCGGAUUUAUUGGGUUUAAAGGGAGCGUAGGCCGGAGAUUAAGCGUGUUGUGAAAUGUAGACGCUCAACGUCUGCACUGCAGCGCGAACUGGUUUCCUUGAGUACGCACAAAGUGGGCGGAAUUCGUGGUGUAGCGGUGAAAUGCUUAGAUAUCACGAAGAACUCCGAUUGCGAAGGCAGCUCACUGGAGCGCAACUGACGCUGAAGCUCGAAAGUGCGGGUAUCGAACAGGAUUAGAUACCCUGGUAGUCCGCACGGUAAACGAUGGAUGCCCGCUGUUGGUCUGAAUAGGUCAGCGGCC